Molecule: transfer RNA, 72 nt
Filed under: Capra hircus (goat)
Lineage: Eukaryota; Metazoa; Chordata; Mammalia; Artiodactyla; Bovidae
Also listed under: 1 other name
Rfam family: tRNA
About the family: Transfer RNA (tRNA) molecules are approximately 80 nucleotides in length.
Source: Rfam by way of RNAcentral
UCCCUGAUAGCUCAGUUAGUAAAGAAUCUGCCUGCAAUGCAGGAGACCCUGGUUUGAUUCCUGGGCUGGGAA